AGGGAUCAUUACCGAGUUUACAACUCCCAAACCCCUGUGAACUUAUACCUUUACUGUUGCUUCGGCGGGUCAUGGCCCCGGGGAGUCAGGUGCCGCAAGGCCCCUGCCCACCCGGAAACAGGCGCCCGCCGGGGGACUCAAACUCUUCUGUAUAUCUUUUUGUUUUACUGUAUACCGUCUGAGUAAAAAAUUCAUAAUGAAUCAAAACUUUCAACAACGGAUCUCUUGGUUCUGGCAUCGAUGAAGAACGCAGCGAAAUGCGAUAAGUAAUGUGAAUUGCAGAAUUCAGUGAAUCAUCGAAUCUUUGAACGCACAUUGCGCCCGCCAGUAUUCUGGCGGGCAUGCCUGUUCGAGCGUCAUUUCAACCCUCAAGCCCCCUGUGGACUUGGUGUUGGGGACCGGCGACAGCCUCCUGUCGCCGCCCCCUAAAUGAAUUGGCGGCCCCGUCGCGGCCCUCCUCUGCGUAGUAG
This 470-nucleotide unclassified non-coding RNA is filed under the name uncultured Paecilomyces. RNAcentral's name for it is "sequence contains ITS1, 5.8S rRNA gene, ITS2". The stretch from base 206 to 359 matches the Rfam family "5.8S ribosomal RNA". The record is from RNAcentral. Lineage: Eukaryota; Fungi; Ascomycota; Eurotiomycetes; Eurotiales; Thermoascaceae.